GCUCCGAAUCAAUUUUGAGGUUCGAAAACAGAAAAUAGAAAAAAGAAAAGGAAAAACCGAGGAAAACCGGCCGAACCGGACCGACCCGGUCAAACCAGACCGAACCAGACCGGCUCCGCCCGCCCGAGCCGCCCGCUCUCACUGACCGGUGGGACCCACGCGUCAUCUUCAACCUCCGUCCGAAAAAUCCGGCCACGCACGCCCGCGAACUGCCCACGAAUCCGUUCCGAUUUCAUCGCGCACGAACCACCAAAUCCGAAACCCCGCGCGU
This 271-nucleotide long non-coding RNA is filed under the name Brachypodium distachyon (stiff brome). Its description in RNAcentral is "long non-coding RNA (BDIS_LNC003011)". Lineage: Eukaryota; Viridiplantae; Streptophyta; Magnoliopsida; Poales; Poaceae. The record is from RNAcentral.